UACGUAGGGGGCGAGCGUUGUCCGGAUUUAUUGGGCGUAAAGAGCGUGUAGGCGGCCGUACAGGUCAGCUGUGAAAACUCGAGGCUCAACCUCGAGACGUCGGUUGAAACCGUACGGCUAGAGUCCGGAAGAGGAGAGUGGAAUUCCCGGUGUAGCGGUGAAAUGCGCAGAUAUCGGGAAGAACACCCGUGGCGAAGGCGGCUCUCUGGGACGGUACUGACGCUGAGACGCGAAAGCGUGGGGAGCGAACAGG
RNAcentral lists this ribosomal RNA (253 nucleotides) under uncultured bacterium. Its description in RNAcentral is "partial 16S ribosomal RNA". It matches the Rfam family "Bacterial small subunit ribosomal RNA", at positions 524 to 776 of the family's 1533-position model. The record is from RNAcentral.